UAUGCGUAAGACCUGCGAAGCCGCCUUAAAGUCCGAUUCGUUUCCGAGCAAAGAUCAUAAUUUCUUUUGAAUUGAUGAAGGUGAUAGGUUGGUAUUAGGUCACAUAGACAACUUCAUCAAGGUCUUUAGAGUGUGGGAGGCUUUCACUAUUGUCGAUAUUUGCGGGAAGAAUAACACACGGAGUCCAGAUUUGUAAUGUCUGUAUUUUCUAAUUUCUUAACUAUUUAUACAAUUUAUUUGCUACGUGCUUGUUGGCUAAAAUAUGUACACCAAUUAAAAACUAAGUUUAUUGACCAAUCCGGAAGAGAUUGAUUAAUAGUUAAUUAUAAUGAGAGUGAGUGAGAGGUGAUUUUCUCUGUCACACAUUCUUGCGCGUUCCGCACAGAGAUAGCGAUAUGCUGUUUAUGACCUCCUAUAGGAGCUUUAUUUAACAGUUCGUUCUGUUCUAGAAACGCGUUUAAUAAGGCAGCAUAACUACGUUCAAUUUGGUUCAAGAUUAGUGUUUAUGAUUAAAAAGAAGAUAUAUGUAAAAAAUAAUAUUUCUUUUAUUUUAGAAUUGUGUCAAAACACUGUUUCUAAACGAAUGUCAUUGCCUAUCGGUGAUUGGUUGAUUCUAGAAGCCAUCUUAAGGCCAAAAAUGGCGUCAUAAUUAUAGUGAGUAAAAUGUGAGGAAAAGGAUGAUAAUAUAGUAACAUAAAUGUCGUUUCUUUUUGCAGGAGAUUAACGCUGGUUUCCCAGAAUGUCUCCAGAUGGACUUAAAGAGCUCACUAAAAAAAGGUAUUAAGUUAAUUAAAAAAAAAAAAAUCUUUUUGCCGAGCAACACAUUUAUUUGAAAACUAGUAAUCCGCAAUAGAAAUCUUUUUAAAACGACUUUUUCUUAUAAGAUCUAUCACAACAGCAUUAAACAUGGAGAAACUCCGUUUUGAAUUUACCUUUUUGCCAUCAAGCGACAAAAAAUCAAACACCAUGUGUAUAACCUCAAUUGGUACAAGUGAUGAAAAAGUUUACGUUGUCCCAGAAGAGGCACAAUAUGUUGGUUGCCGAACUGAACUUAUUAAAACCCCUGCCUUUACGAAGAUAAAACAUAGUCUGAAGAAAAGACACCAGACACGAAAAAUAUGGAUCACAAUGACUAAGGUACUUAGUUGUUAAGGUAUUCAUAAGUCAUCUUAAAUGUACUUAUCUUACAUAAGAUAUUAUUAUCUAGACAACUGGAUUUAAGAAAUAUAAUAUUGUGUCAUAAAUAGGUGACGUAUUUACUCUUUGUAUUCAGUAAAAAGUAUUAAACUUAUUGUAAAUAUUUUA
Molecule: long non-coding RNA, 1305 nt
Organism: Papilio polytes (common Mormon)
Lineage: Eukaryota; Metazoa; Arthropoda; Insecta; Lepidoptera; Papilionidae
Exons: 2
Source: RefSeq, a predicted model, not a curated record